GCAAGUCGAACGAAGCACUUUAUUUGAUUUCCUUCGGGAUUGAUUAUUUUGUGACUGAGUGGCGGACGGGUGAGUAACGCGUGGGUAACCUGCCUUGUACAGGGGGAUAACAGUUGGAAACGGCUGCUAAUACCGCAUAAGCGCACGGCAUCGCAUGAUGCAGUGUGAAAAACUCCGGUGGUAUAAGAUGGACCCGCGUUGGAUUAGCUAGUUGGUGAGGUAACGGCCCACCAAGGCGACGAUCCAUAGCCGACCUGAGAGGGUGACCGGCCACAUUGGGACUGAGACACGGCCCAAACUCCUACGGGAGGCAGCAGUGGGGAAUAUUGCACAAUGGGCGAAAGCCUGAUGCAGCGACGCCGCGUGAGCGAAGAAGUAUUUCGGUAUGUAAAGCUCUAUCAGCAGGGAAGAUAAUGACGGUACCUGACUAAGAAGCACCGGCUAAAUACGUGCCAGCAGCCGCGGUAAUACGUAUGGUGCAAGCGUUAUCC
This 491-nucleotide ribosomal RNA is filed under the name uncultured bacterium. Its description in RNAcentral is "bacterial SSU rRNA". It matches the Rfam family "Bacterial small subunit ribosomal RNA", at positions 57 to 546 of the family's 1533-position model. The record is from RNAcentral.